Long non-coding RNA from Daphnia magna, 586 nucleotides. RefSeq lists it as uncharacterized. The transcript is spliced from 2 exons. Lineage: Eukaryota; Metazoa; Arthropoda; Branchiopoda; Diplostraca; Daphniidae. The record is from RefSeq and is a predicted model, not a curated record.
UAGACUAGCCGUUUAUUAUGUAAUAAUAUUUAUUAAUGUAAUUUUGCUUCAGUUCUCUAGAUAUUUUUGGGUAUAUAUGUUCCUGAAUUAGUUCCAGCAGUUCCAGUUUGAAGUUGUGAAUGUUUUAUGGGCUUAUCUAAUUCCUACCUUUAAAUAGAAAUGAAUUGAUUUGUAAAUUAUAAUCAUUGGGUGUGUUCUGCUGUGAACUCUACUCUAUACAUGCCAUUACUUAUUGCACAAUUUUAUUACUUUGUGAAUCAAUUGUAACUUAUUUUUAAUUAAAAUGCAGAUCUUCAUGCAGCCUUCUGUUGAUGUUCAUUCAAAAAUUCACAUGGAAAGUACUAAUUUCUCAAUGAAACUAGAUGUGCUAUUGACUGCCAAUAUUCUACUUCAGUUGGAUCUCCAAUUUACUGAGAAACUUUCUCUUCGAAUUAUGGUUAAUAAAGAAUUUAUUUAAUGUAAGUUUUAUUGUUUUGUUCAAGGACGUUUUGCAUUGAUAUUAUUUUGAUGUGUACCGCUCUAGAAUUAGUAGUAUUAGAAUAUCAAUGUAGUUAUCGCAAUAAAAAAUUACCAAUUCUUGUUUGAA